GAAUCGUCUUCUCCAUUCAUACUCACAGACCGCUCACCAAUGUUUUUCCAUUCACCAUACUCGACCCAGGUACGACCCUUCAUCUCCCCAACGCACACUCAUCUAACAGACCUCACACCAAAAACACCCACGUAAUUUCCAUUGAGAGAGUAGCGAAGAGAGAGAGAGAGAGAGAUAGAAUCGAGAGAGAGAGAAGGAAGAAGUCGAGCUAAUAAUUUCGGUGAGUUUCUUGCCGGAAAACAUCGUUGUUGCUUUAAAAUUGGGCUGUUAUUCAUUUUCCGGCACUGUCUGAGCCUUUUUCAAAAAUCCUGCGAAACAGCAACCAAAUCAGUUCCCUCCCAUCAUUUCUCGUUCCCUCCGGUCAAAUAUUUCUCAAAUUUUUGAAUGUCAUUAGCUUCUGUGAGUUCUGAGAUUUGUUGGGAUUAAUUGGUUAUAGAGUUAUUUGUUCAAGUUUGGUUCGUUGGGUUAGAGAUUCGAGCUGCGGGUUCAUGUAUCGAGGCUGGGUUCAUUGUUUGAGGUUCGGUCGCGGGCUUCAUCUCUUCAUCAGUUAAUACUAAAUUCUGGAAUCUUUGAAUUUGAAUUGAGGUCUAAUUCUAUUCCUCCUCUUCUUUAUUUCAUCACUUGUCAUGUUCGAUACUUUGAAUUGAAUUCAGUGUGUUAAUUGAUAUGUGAUCAUGUGAAUUAUUAUUUGUUGUGAUUCGGUGUUUGAUUUCCUUGAUUAUGGAUUGAUUGUGGGUUGCGCGUUGAAAUAAUAUCUCAUUAAAAAUUAAAAUUGGUUGGUUGGGGUGGAAUUGAAAAUUAACAAAAAAGGAGAGAUUCGAUUUAAUUUUGAUUUAGUGUUGGCAUGAAUCAUGAUAGGUUUAUGAUGGGUUGAAACGGAUAGGUAAUAUAGGUUCGGGUAGGCUAAUUUUAGAACUUUUUGUUUUGGUCGAAUGUUGGAAUGUGUGUAUGAAUGCUUCCUUCUAGUUUUAUCGUGAUUUAAUUCAAAAUGUAUUCAUUAGGCCGGGGAAUGCCCCGAGGGAUUUGUAUUGAUUUAUCCAGAGAAUGCCCCGAAGUAUCAUGUACUUGAAGACGGUGCACGAUCAAGGCCCAGAACGUCGGGAAAAGCAAUGGAGCGUAGUUAGAAUUAGCCUAGAAUAGAGUAGGUUUAUAUUUUCAUAUUUUUUUUAUUUUUAUUUUCAUUUCGAAAUUGUAUAAUUGGACUGAACACUAAAUUUUGAAUUGUUUUGUUUUAUUUGAUUUUUUUAC
RNAcentral lists this long non-coding RNA (1248 nucleotides) under Capsicum annuum. RNAcentral's name for it is "long non-coding RNA (CANN_LNC005768)". The record is from RNAcentral. Lineage: Eukaryota; Viridiplantae; Streptophyta; Magnoliopsida; Solanales; Solanaceae.